RNAcentral lists this small nuclear RNA (106 nucleotides) under Catagonus wagneri (Chacoan peccary). Lineage: Eukaryota; Metazoa; Chordata; Mammalia; Artiodactyla; Tayassuidae. The record is from RNAcentral.
GUGCUUGCUUCCACAGCAUAUAUACCAAAAUUGUAACAAUACAGAGAAGAUUAUCAUGACCGCUGCACAAGGAUGACAUGAAAAUUCUGAAGUGUUCCAUGUUUUA